RNAcentral lists this ribosomal RNA (253 nucleotides) under uncultured bacterium. RNAcentral describes it as "partial 16S ribosomal RNA". It matches the Rfam family "Bacterial small subunit ribosomal RNA", at positions 524 to 776 of the family's 1533-position model. The record is from RNAcentral.
UACGUAGGGGGCUAGCGUUGUCCGGAAUCAUUGGGCGUAAAGAGCGCGUAGGCGGCCAGAUAAGUCCGGUGUGAAAGUCAAAGGCUCAACCUUUGAAUGCCGCUGGAAACUGUCUGGCUAGAGUCCGGGAGGGGCGAGUGGAAUUCCUGGUGUAGCGGUGAAAUGCGCAGAUAUCAGGAGGAACACCGGUGGCGAAGGCGCUGCUCUGGGCCGGUACUGACGCUGAGGAGCGAAAGCGUGGGUAGCAAACAGG